RNAcentral lists this ribosomal RNA (494 nucleotides) under uncultured bacterium. RNAcentral's name for it is "partial 16S ribosomal RNA". It matches the Rfam family "Bacterial small subunit ribosomal RNA", at positions 28 to 507 of the family's 1533-position model. The record is from RNAcentral.
GACGAACGCUGGCGGCGUGCUUAACACAUGCAAGUCGAACGGAAAGGCCUGCUUUCCCUUGUGGAUUGCGGGUACUCGAGUGGCGAACGGGUGAGUAACACGUGAGUGAUCUGCCCCCAACUUGGGUAUAAGCCUGGGAAACUGGGUCUAAUUCCCGAUAGGACUGCAGGGUGGUGCCUGUGGUGGAAAACGAUUUUCUAGUGGUUGGGGAUGAGCUCGCGGCCUAUCAGCUUGUUGGUGGGGUAAUGGCCUACCAAGGCGGCGACGGGUAGCCGGCCUGAGGGGGUGGACGGGCACAUUGGGACUGAGAUACGGCCCAGACGCCUACGGGAGGCAGCAGUGGGGAAGAAUGCACAAUGGGCGGAAGCCUGAUGCAGCGACGCCGCGUGGGGGAUGACGGGCUUCGGGUUGUAAACUCCUUUCGACCGCGAGGAAGCCACCUGGUUGGAAGGGUGGUGACGGUAGUGGUAGAAGAAGCACCGGCUAACUACGUG